Molecule: long non-coding RNA, 886 nt
Organism: Cydia pomonella (codling moth)
Lineage: Eukaryota; Metazoa; Arthropoda; Insecta; Lepidoptera; Tortricidae
Exons: 2
Source: RefSeq, a predicted model, not a curated record
AAUCAUUUUCUAAAACAAAAAAACACCUUUACAUAGAAAAAAAUUGAAAUACGGCCCAAAAUCUAAAAUCUUUUGAGUAAAAAAAAUCUUUCAAGGUCAAUAAAUUUUUAAUGAUUACCGAUAUCGGAUUAAAAAAAAUAUAUUUAAAAAGGCGCAUUAAUACAGAUUCCAAAAAUAUAAGUAACAUUGCAAAUAUUUAAGAAAAAAAUUGUUUAAAAAAAUAUAGAACACCGCGCGGCAGAGUCGUAAAAAAUUCUUAGCCAAUUAUGAACAUCAAAAACGAGUUUUAUAGGUUGCUAGUGUCCUGUAAGCUGUAACUAAUAAGGAUGGAGUUUUCAUUAGAUAUAGUAUAUCAUCAUAUCAGCUCAUAUAUGUCCCCACCGAGGGGCUCGAGCCUACCCUGCAUUAGGGUGAUCGGGCCUUAGUCGAUCACGCGAGCCCAGUGCGGGUUGUUCGACUUCACACACAAGCUUCGAGUUUCCUCGCAGCCGUGUGCAGGUUUCCUCACGAUGUUUUCCUUCACCGUAAGAGCGUCGAAUAAACGUACAUAUGAAAUCGAGAUUCGAAAACACAUUGGUAUGCGGCCAGGAUUCGAACCACGACCUCCCGCACAGGAGGUAGCGGUCUUAAGCAUUACGCCACCGACGCUUUCUAUAUAUAGUAUAUAGCUCAAUUUUAAUAAUUAUUUGAUAGAAGACAUUUUUUAUCGUGUGUAUAAGCAUAUUUAAACUUAUGGCUCAGCUGGGCACGAUUUCAAGUGACCCAAAAUCUAUAAAUAAAUUAAACAAACAGUAUAGAAUUUUACUUAAAAAUGUUUAUUAUUUACAUUGUCCCCCACAAUCGCAAAGCUCCGUGCACUUAAGUUGCCGCUGAAAGCACCGGCACC